UGUGUAGGCGGUUUUCUAAGUCUGGUGUGAAAUCUCCCGGCUCAACUGGGAGGGUGCGCCGAAAACUGGAAGGCUAGAGUGCGGGAUGGGAGAGUGGAAUUCCUGGUGUAGCGGUGAAAUGCGUAGAUAUCAGGAGGAACACCUGUGGUGUAGACGGCUCUCUGGACCGCAACUGACGCUGAGACACGAAAGCGUGGGUAGCAAACA
RNAcentral lists this ribosomal RNA (207 nucleotides) under uncultured bacterium. RNAcentral describes it as "partial 16S ribosomal RNA". It matches the Rfam family "Bacterial small subunit ribosomal RNA", at positions 568 to 774 of the family's 1533-position model. The record is from RNAcentral.